Molecule: ribosomal RNA, 521 nt
Filed under: uncultured bacterium
Lineage: Bacteria
Description: bacterial SSU rRNA
Rfam family: Archaeal small subunit ribosomal RNA
Source: RNAcentral
AACCUCCGCAAUGUGAGAAAUCGCGACGGGGGGAUCCCAAGUGCCAUUCUUAACGGGAUGGCUUUUCAUUAGUGUAAAGAGCUUUUGGAAUAAGAGCUGGGCAAGACCGGUGCCAGCCGCCGCGGUAACACCGGCAGCUCUAGUGGUAACAAUUUUUAUUGGGCCUAAAGCGUCCGUAGCCGGUUUAAUAAGUCUCUGGUGAAAUCCUGUAGCUUAACUGUGGGAAUUGCUGGAGAUACUAUUAGACUUGAGACCGGGAGAGGUUAGAGGUACUCCCAGGGUAGAGGUGAAAUUCUGUAAUCCUGGGAGGACCGCCUGUUGCGAAGGCGUCUAACUGGAACGGUUCUGACGGUGAGGGACGAAAGUUAGGGGCGCGAACCGGAUUAGAUACCCGGGUAGUCCUAACUGUAAACGAUGCGGACUUGGUGUUGGGGUGGCUUUGAGCUGCUCCAGUGCCGAAGGGAAGCUGUUAAGUCCGCCGCCUGGGAAGUACGGGCGCAAGACUGAAACUUAAAGGAAUU